RNAcentral lists this ribosomal RNA (467 nucleotides) under uncultured bacterium. Its description in RNAcentral is "partial 16S ribosomal RNA". It matches the Rfam family "Bacterial small subunit ribosomal RNA", at positions 29 to 507 of the family's 1533-position model. The record is from RNAcentral.
ACGAACGCUGGCGGCGUGCUUAACACAUGCAAGUCGAACGGAAAGGCCCUGCUUUUGUGGGGUGCUCGAGUGGCGAACGGGUGAGUAACACGUGAGUAACCUGCCCUUGACUUUGGGAUAACUUCAGGAAACUGGGGCUAAUACCGGAUAGGAGCUCCUGCUGCAUGGUGGGGGUUGGAAAGUUUCGGCGGUUGGGGAUGGACUCGCGGCUUAUCAGCUUGUUGGUGGGGUAGUGGCUUACCAAGGCUUUGACAGGUAGCCGGCCUGAGAGGGUGACCGGCCACAUUGGGACUGAGAUACGGCCCAGACUCCUACGGGAGGCAGCAGUGGGGAAUAUUGCACAAUGGGCGGAAGCCUGAUGCAGCAACGCCGCGUGCGGGAUGACGGCCUUCGGGUUGUAAACCGCUUUCGCCUGUGACGAAGCGUGAGUGACGGUAAUGGGUAAAGAAGCACCGGCUAACUACGUG